GUGCCAGCAGCCGCGGUAAGACAGAGGUCCCGAGCGUUAGGCGGAAUCACUGGGCUUAAAGCGUGUGUAGGCGGAUUUGUAAGUACCUUGUGAAAUCCCACAGCUUAACUGUGGAACUGCUUGGUAUACUGCUUAUCUUGGGCCACUUAGGGGUUACCGGAACAAACGGUGGAGCGGUGAAAUGCGUAGAUAUCGUUUGGAACGCCAAUGGUGAAAACAGGUAACUGGGAGUGUGCCGACGCUGAGACACGAAAGCCAGGGGAGCGAACGGGAUUAGAUACCCCGGUAGUCC
Molecule: ribosomal RNA, 292 nt
Filed under: uncultured bacterium
Lineage: Bacteria
Description: partial 16S ribosomal RNA
Rfam family: Bacterial small subunit ribosomal RNA
Source: RNAcentral